GGAGCUUGCUCCUGGAUUCAGCGGCGGACGGGUGAGUAAUGCCUAGGAAUCUGCCUGGUAGUGGGGGAUAACGUCCGGAAACGGGCGCUAAUACCGCAUACGUCCUGAGGGAGAAAGUGGGGGAUCUUCGGACCUCACGCUAUCAGAUGAGCCUAGGUCGGAUUAGCUAGUUGGUGGGGUAAAGGCCUACCAAGGCGACGAUCCGUAACUGGUCUGAGAGGAUGAUCAGUCACACUGGAACUGAGACACGGUCCAGACUCCUACGGGAGGCAGCAGUGGGGAAUAUUGGACAAUGGGCGAAAGCCUGAUCCAGCCAUGCCGCGUGUGUGAAGAAGGUCUUCGGAUUGUAAAGCACUUUAAGUUGGGAGGAAGGGCAGUAAGUUAAUACCUUGCUGUUUUGACGUUACCAACAGAAUAAGCACCGGCUAACUUCGUGCCAGCAGCCGCGGUAAUACGAAGGGUGCAAGCGUUAAUCGGAAUUUACUGGGCGUAAAGCGCGCGUAGGUGGUUCAGCAAGUUGGAUGUGAAAUCCCCG
This 535-nucleotide ribosomal RNA is filed under the name Pseudomonas sp. faro1_43. RNAcentral describes it as "bacterial SSU rRNA". It matches the Rfam family "Bacterial small subunit ribosomal RNA", at positions 75 to 605 of the family's 1533-position model. The record is from RNAcentral. Lineage: Bacteria; Pseudomonadati; Pseudomonadota; Gammaproteobacteria; Pseudomonadales; Pseudomonadaceae.